Molecule: long non-coding RNA, 201 nt
Filed under: Elaeis guineensis (African oil palm)
Lineage: Eukaryota; Viridiplantae; Streptophyta; Magnoliopsida; Arecales; Arecaceae
Description: long non-coding RNA (EGUI_LNC021803)
Source: RNAcentral
AUUAAUUAAAUAAUCACCUUCCUUCAGGAUGUAAUUUCUGAACUACUUUCUUAGACACCAACUGAUCAAUUAAGCCGGAUCCGAUUUAACUUUCGAGGUCACUUGUCCUAUUGAGUUCGAAUUCCUUAAGGACUGAUACUUAGUUAAUUUUAAUUUAGAGGUUUGGAUUAAUACAAAUACAAGAUGGUGGUUUGUGGGCCA